AACGCACAUUGCGCCCGCCAGUAUUCUGGCGGGCAUGCCUGUUCGAGCGUCAUUUCAACCAUCAAGCCCCUGUGCUUGUGUUGGAGCCCUGCGGCUGCCGCAUACUCCCAAACCCAGUGGCGGGCUCGUCGUCGUACCGAGUGCAGUAAAUUUACCACGCUCAGGGCACGCGACGGGUAACCGGCCGUAAAACCCCCCCCUUCUCAAGGUUGACCUCGGAUCAGGUAGGAAUACCCGCUGAACUUAA
This 247-nucleotide unclassified non-coding RNA is filed under the name uncultured Ascomycota. RNAcentral describes it as "sequence contains ITS2". The stretch from base 1 to 52 matches the Rfam family "5.8S ribosomal RNA", at positions 103 to 154 of the family's 154-position model. Lineage: Eukaryota; Fungi; Ascomycota. The record is from RNAcentral.